RNAcentral lists this ribosomal RNA (505 nucleotides) under uncultured bacterium. Its description in RNAcentral is "partial 16S ribosomal RNA". It matches the Rfam family "Bacterial small subunit ribosomal RNA", at positions 899 to 1397 of the family's 1533-position model. The record is from RNAcentral.
ACUCAAAUGAAUAGACGGGGGCUCACACAAGCGGUGGAGCAUGUGGCUUAAUUCGAGGCUACGCGCAGAACCUUAUCCCGGGCUUGACAUGCACGGAUUAGCCGGCGGAAACGUCGGCAAGGCCGCAAGGUACAACGUGCACAGGUGCUGCAUGGCUGUCGUCAGCUCGUGUCGUGAGAUGUUGGGUUAAGUCCCGUAACGAGCGAAACCCCUGCCCCUAGUUGCCAGCACGUCAUGGUGGGAACUCUAGGGGGACCGCCGGCGUCAAGCCGGAGGAAGGCGGGGACGACGUCAAGUCCUCAUGGCCCUUAUGCCCGGGGCUGCACACGUGCUACAAUGGGCCGGACAGAGCGACGCCAAGGCGCAAGCCCCAGCCAAUCGCAAAAACCGGCCCCCAGUUCGGAUUGCGGGCUGCAACCCGCCCGCAUGAAGCCGGAAUCGCUAGUAAUCGCGGAUCAGCACUGCCGCGGUGAAUGGGUUCCUGAGCCUUGUACACACCGCCCGU